GUGGAAUGUUUCACUUGAAUGGAAAUGCCCUCAAGUUACUUCCAGUAUUGCUGUAGGAUUGAUUUUUCUAGGUUAAGGGAAUGCAAAAGUUAGGUGCUUUAUACGUAUUCUUUUUUUUUUUUUUUUUAACAAAUCAUUAUCUAUCUUUUAAAUGGGUUUAAGACAUCCCAAAACAAAUCAGGAAAAGGAACAUCAUUUCAGUGUUACCAACAUAGGGCUUUGUGUAAUGACUGUGACACCAUGACAGUGAAGUAUUCAUUUUUAAGCUUUAAACAGAGAAAGCUUUACCUCAGUGUGUCCAAUAGAAAUACAAUAUGUAAAUUAACCCAUAUUAUCUGUAUGCUGAUUGGCUUGAGUUCCCCCGAAUGUCACAAUCUCACCACCCAGCAAUGAGGUAUUUUACUGCUGUCUGGAGAUCAAAUUAUUACUGUAGAGAAGAUCUUUAUUUUUUCUGUUUCAUUAACAGAUUAUUAUAAAGCAAUAAGCAUUCAGGAGGAGAAGCAGACGUUUUACAUUGGGAAUUAACGAAAGCAUGUCUGCUCGUUUUUUGGAGGUGGGGAGUUGUUUAAAAUCUUACACCACCCCCACAAACAAAACUCUUCGGAAAUGGUAAAAUAUUAUGGAAAUGCAUGAUUCCAGAGGCAUCCCUAAGCACCCAGUUGUCAGGCUAUGUGGUGUCUUGUGAUAUCAUCGGACCUUUUGGAUGGGUCUAACCUGCAGGUGCAAAGGUCAGCUGGGGAACUCAUUAAAGAGGAAAUCUAAAAGAAGCUUCCAAUGCGUUGGACCACCCUAAAAGAGAAAGGAAGGAAAUGUUCGGGGAAGGCUAGGGUUCCGGGAAGCUGAAAAGGGGGCGAGCGCCCCCGAUGCCGCGGCUUCUCCUGGCGCUGCCCUAAGGGAAGAGGAUGGGCCUGAGGUCCUGAAAAAGCCUUUCCAAGCCCCCACUUCAGGUGUGGGGAGGGAAAAGUUCAGAAGCAGCCAGAAGGGGACAAAACCCCAAUUUUGCCAGUUCAACAGGACAGAAUAUUCAAUAAACCCUGCCAGCUCUGGGAACGGGUCGAGGCUUCUGUUGGCUCCACAGAGGCUGAAGCAGCCCUCGCCGCCGCCCUCGUCGUCGCCGCCGCCGCCGCCGCCGCCGCCGCGGCCCCUGCGUUACUGGGGGAGACGGUGCCGCUGCGACAGGGGAGGACGCGGCUGGAGCUCAAGGAGGCUCCAGCGCGCAGGCGCCGCCGAGCCCUGCCUGGAUGCUCAGUCAAGGCACUAAGGCAAAAAAAAAAUCAGCAAUUUAUAGAAAGAAGAAGCUAUAGUCUGUCGGGAUAUCCAACACCAACAGUAGGGCUUAUUGAGAGCUCCAUUUCUGGAAAGCGUUGCAAGACUGAGGAAUACCAGACUGCGAAUCACCGGGAACAGUUCCCUUGCAGCACAGAAGCAAUCUCUCUCCCCAUCUUCGCAUAUUCUGAUGGCAAAUCAAAUGGAAGAAAAGAGGAAGCAUGACUGCAGAUCGCAUCAGUUCUCUUUGUGGAUUAUAUUUUCAUUAAAAUGGAGCUGAGGCGCUGUUUCAGCACAACCCUCCUUUACUGCAGAAAAUCCAGGUUACCAAGGGAACCUUACUGUGUUAUAUGAAGGAGCAUCUGGAAAUCUUUAGCCUUGUGAAACACUAACCUUCUCUGCUAAGCAAUCGUGGCCUGUAGCCAUAUCUUGAGAAGAAAAUCAAGAAUGGGAUCAGCGGUUAUAAGGAUUUGGGCAACAUUCUGCAGUCUUUGCAAUAGUUCACCUAUAAUCCUAUUUUAAAUCUCAGAGUGAUCCUGCUGACUGCCGGCGAAGGUUUGUAAUUAAGAAAGGACUGAACCACUGCCCUAAGUUUCUUUAUGUGGUUGAAAACUAGACAAUGAAAGUAGCAGGUGCUAAGUAUCAGUGCUAAAUGCUGUGUAUAUCACUACUUAUGAAAAAAAAAACAUCAAAAAAACAAUUAGCAUUGGACAUCUUAAUAAAUUAAGUUGACAUGAGGUAAAUGUGUUGAUAAAAACUAAUUUUAGAAGUUUGAAGACUUUAAAACAUUUCAUACUAUUAUCGUUUUGCAAAGACUAAAAUAUUUGGGGACUUAAAGUACUGUAAUCCACUAAAGACGUGCCAUGACUUAUUGGAUUAUCACACUUUUAAAAAUUCGCCUUGUAAGUUUUGGGGAGCAUUCCAAAGCAGUAUAUUGGUUCCAAUUAGAGUCUACUCUUUUUUUUUUUUUUUUUUGGAUUAAUACAUUACUAUUUCUAAAUACCACUUUCCUUACCUACUAGUGAAAUUGCUAGCAUUGAACUGUAUUAUGUGGGUUUUGUUGAUUUGGUAUAAAGUUUUUCCAAUUCAUUUAUAUUUUACAAAUGCUAGAUAUUGGUCUGGGAGGCAACAUUAAUGGUACCAACUGGUCACAACUGAGCAGUUCUUAUAAUGCAGAAUAAACACAUGUUGCCUUAAAGGGUUAUCUAGUAUCUUUCAUCUUAUUUAGCAUUGGAGCAAAUAGUCAAGGGAAAUUGAAUUAGUAACUGGUCAUGGUCAUGCAUCUGGAAGUGCAUGGACGAUCAUUUAAUACUCUUUUUCCUUUUUCCUCACAUGGUUUGAAAAUUAAGGUGCACAUCACUGGGAUGAUGAGAUUUUCUUCUGAGGUGUGCUACCCAUUCUAGUGUGUUCUAAGAAGCAGGCAGUUGAUGUAUGUUUAUAUUUUAAAUCAGCUGUCAAGGGGAGACCACAGCCUUAGUAUGACAUCCUGCACAAUUUGUGAAGCAUUUACUCUACUGAAGGCACAGUCUUGUUUAUACUUUCUGCACAUUCAGUGUAUUGGUCGUUUAAAUUAUUUCAGUUUUAACUUGUGAAAGCUUAUAAUAUGAUUUCUGGUAUUUUAGAAAUACAUUAGAGUCUGUGAGUCUCAUUCUUUAAGAUACAGAUGUGUGAAUUUCAAUAUAAAGUUGCAUUUGCCAAAAUUUACCUGUGUAGCCUGUUACUUUUUUUUGGAUUAAAUUUUACAUUUUUGGCAAUUAACAAUUUCUUUUGACCUGGGAGGCAAGCACAAACUAGGGAAACUAGCUUUACUAUGGUUUUGCUUUUUGAUUUUUGUAGCUAUUUUGAAACUGGAAAUGCAUGAAUGAUAGGGAGCUUAAAGCUGAUAAACUGGCAAAUAAUAUUAUCCACAAAAGCAUUAUUUGGUAGCUUAUUAUAAUUAUCCCUCUAUUUAUUCUUACAAGCCAGUAAUGUUUAGAGUUAUAUACCUGCUUAUUGAUUGGUUCAGAAUUUUAAUCUAAAUAUCACAUUUUAAUUUGGAGCAUUGCAGAAAUUUUGGAUUCUAAAUAUAUAACAUCUAAGAAGAAUGGUUUACAAUAGGAUUAUGAUAAAACCAGAAAAGUUAUUGUUUUUGCUUUCCAUUGUUUUCAUUUUUUUUGUUUUUGUUUUGUUUUGUUUUGUUUGGUACUUGAAAAAUAAGAUUAGGAACAGGAUUCUUUAUUGCUACAGUACUUCUGUAAAGAGAAUAUCAAUAUAAAUAUAAAUAAGGAAAAAUAAAUCACUGGAAUGUCUCAAUGAUAUAUGCAACUAUUCAGUUUUGCUCAUUUAAGGACAAUUCAAGCCAUGAUUUAGUGAGCGCUGUGUUUGACCUCAUUUUACUUUAUACCAAAGUUGAUUGGAUCUGAGACAAAGUUUAAUGUACAACAGGAGUUGAAUCGAGCGAUAAAGUCCCCUUGCUGGUACUAAAAUCAU
This 3735-nucleotide long non-coding RNA is filed under the name Ursus thibetanus thibetanus. Its description in RNAcentral is "lncRNA (ENSUTTG00000001068.1)". Lineage: Eukaryota; Metazoa; Chordata; Mammalia; Carnivora; Ursidae. The record is from RNAcentral.